GUAAAUGUCUCCACUGUACUGUUAGAG
RNAcentral lists this non-coding RNA (27 nucleotides) under Cricetulus griseus (Chinese hamster). The record is from RNAcentral. Lineage: Eukaryota; Metazoa; Chordata; Mammalia; Rodentia; Cricetidae.